RNAcentral lists this ribosomal RNA (253 nucleotides) under uncultured bacterium. RNAcentral describes it as "partial 16S ribosomal RNA". It matches the Rfam family "Bacterial small subunit ribosomal RNA", at positions 524 to 776 of the family's 1533-position model. The record is from RNAcentral.
UACGAAGGGGGCUAGCGUUGCUCGGAAUCACUGGGCGUAAAGGGUGCGUAGGCGGGUCUUUAAGUCAGGGGGGAAAUCCUGGAGCUCAACUCCAGAACUGCCUUUGAUACUGAGGAUCUUGAGUUCGGGAGAGGUGAGUGGAACUGCGAGUGUAGAGGUGAAAUUCGUAGAUAUUCGCAAGAACACCAGUGGCGAAGGCGGCUUACUGGUCCGGUACUGACGCUGAGGUGCGAAAGCGUGGGGAGCAAACAGG